GUCCGCUUUGUGCGGGAAAACCGCAUGCACGGUUCGGAGGGGCGGGGUAACUCGUCCUUACCCCUAA
This 67-nucleotide non-coding RNA is filed under the name Candidatus Kentrum sp. LPFa. Lineage: Bacteria; Pseudomonadati; Pseudomonadota; Gammaproteobacteria. The record is from RNAcentral.